AGAGGUAUAAUGUGGACCUCUGGAAGUUAUGGAUUUAAAAUCUGAGUGGCAGAUCUUCCGGAUCGAUCUACGUAGUGACGUAUUUUAUAUAAGUUAUAUAUUCUAUCGAUAUGAAUUCUGAGGUUGGAUUUGAUUACUGUUCUAGGCGGCGAUCGUCAUGACGCCUUGAUGUGUGGUGCUAGGGAGUUGUUGGACGAACUCCAGGUGAGUGGGCAGUUUUGUUUUCCGUAUACAUAUAUAAUUGACGUUUCCCAGAAAUUGAAAAUGUUACGAAAGUAUGCUUUAAAUGCAAAGUAUAAAAGUAUGUUUUCAAAUGCCAUGAGUAGAUUAUAUGAAAGAUAUGAUUUGAGAUAUAUUAGUUGAAAUACCAUGCUUAGAAGUAUGUGAAAAGUAUAUAGAAAUGUGAAUCGAAAUGCCAUGCAUGAAAUGAUAUGAAAAGUAUGAAUUGAGAUAUGAUGCAUAUGUAUGAAUUGGUGCUGUGGACGCACAGGUGAGUAUCAGGUGAGUAUAUUACUGCUAUGAUGAUGUUGAGAUAUAUUGAGCUCAUAACCUGCACCUUGGUAUUAGUGCUUAUUAUUAUUCACCGCAUCGCAUGCUCACCUUGGAUCCAAGUAGAUGCUAGUCGUACAGACCACCGGGGGUGGUUCCGACAUGCCAGUCGUACAGACCAUUAGAGGGGUUCCGACUGGUAGGUGACCUUAGAUUAUGUGCACAGAUGAUUGAUGAGAAAAGCACUAGAGCAUAUUAUUACACCAUUAAGUCGUACAGAUUACAUUAGGUAAUUCCGACUUAUGUGCAGUGUAGUGCCGUACAGGUCAUACUAGGUGACUCCGGCAUGGCCGAACAGGUCACAGUUGGUGACUCCGGUUAUAUGAGAUUUUGAGCUCUACAUUCAGCCGUACAGGACCAUUGUAGGGUCUCCGGUUGAUUUCUUUCUUGCACCUGAUAUGAUUAUUGCUGAUGCAUUCAUACUUAACUGUUGAAUUUAGACAUGGCAUGGCAUGAUUGAUAAAGAUAAAUGUUGAGAUAGUAAAAAUGAAGUUUUGAUAAUAUAUAUGUAUAUUUAUAUUUUACAUUUCUGGGAAAGUAUACAGGUUUUACGGAGAGGGGUUACAACGUUUUGAGAAAUGUUUGGAUUUGGAAAAGAAUUGUUUUACUGACCCACUCAAUUUUGGUUUUGCGCCCCUCCAGGUUCAUGAAUCACAAAGGUGUGGUGACUACGAGGAAUUCGACGGUGUUCUGACAGAUUGGACAAAAUUAGGACUCACUUUCGGGUGUAUCAACUUAGGAAUUGUAUCUUAAAGCUUCCGUACUGUGCAAAUGGUUACGUCACUCUCACGUGACGGCCAGCAUGCCCUCCUUCGGGACGGGGUGUGUCAGUUGGUAUCAGAGCAUGGUUGCAAUCUUGGACAUUUUGAGAAGUUCUAGUGAAUUCUGUCAGAACUACACCGCCUCGUAGCAAGCCACUUAGUUAGAGGAAUUUAGUCUCCCUAAUAUAACGGUUUAGGGGAAACUAUUAUUAUGGUGAUUCAGUCUAUUAUAAAAAGGGACAUUUUAAGAUGGGUUAUGAGUUGAAUUUGAAUCACUUAAGAGAAAUGAUGAACCUGAGGGAGCGAAGUAACGGUUUAACCAUUUGGAAAAGAUGUUUCGGAUUAUGCAAGUCAAAGGAAUCUUCCUUCUGACAAGGGGUCGAGAUGACUACCUGGUUUGAGUUAUGAACGUGUAUCCUGAUGGAAGCAGGAGUAUUAAUUGUUGUCAUCGGAGGAACAGCCGAUUUAAAAUUGUUUAAGGACUUGUUUAAGGAAAAGUUUAUCCCUCCGGCAUUUAUCGAUGGUAGUAAACAAGAGUUUACAAAUAUGAGACAAGGAAGGUGAUGAUCGAGGGAUAUUAUAGAAAGUUUUCAGACUUGCCUUGUUCCAUCCAGAUAUUGUUGUUAUUGGUGGAGGUGUUAUGUUGUUUUAAGCUGGGUGGCAAAAAGGGAAGUGGUAUUUUGGGUGACCACUAUCCAUUGUAGUUCUUAUCAGGAGUAUGCUAGAUGUUGUUGAGUCUUGAGGACUCUGAGAACAUGAGCAACGAGAAUAAAGAAGAAUAAGAAAUGAAUGGGAAUUUAAAGAAGACGAUAAAGUUAAUGAUUCGUCAUAUCAAGGAGAUAGAAAGAUUCAGAGCUUCGAAAGAAGUGAAGCUAGAGUUAAUUCUUCCAGCUGAGGUUUUAAUGUCGCUGGUCAGAGUAAAAGUGAUGGAUAUACUGGUAAUCCCAGAUAUUUGAGACAAGGUGUCUCGAGUAAAGGAAAUGUACUUUGUGCAGCAGGUACAAAAUUAACACUUUGGGAAAUGUGAAAUUAAUGAAUGUGUUUAUGUAAACAGAGGGGACACAUAAUUGUGAAUCGUCCCUAAAAUCAGUUGUACUCAACAAUUUUCCAUGAUAUCAUAGUGUCAAUUCAGCAGAGUUAUGGACUUAGUAGUUUGGUUGGAUUGACCAUGAGUACCGAGAGAUUUGAUGAGUUAUAUGUUCAGCCGUACAGGCCAAAAGAGGUGGAUCCGGCUGACACAUGAGAAAUUGGUGAGUUAUAGGCUCGGCUGUACGGACCACAAGAUGUGGAUCCGGCCGACGUAUUUACUGGGGAAUUGAUGUGUAAGUCGUACAGGUCACUAUAAGUGACUCCGACUAAUGUGCUAGCAUAGAUGGUUGAGCUGGAGAAUCAGCCGUACAGGUCAUUCUAGUUGACUCCGGCUGAUAUAUUUCUGAGUAUGGACAAUGAUGCCAAAGAAAGUAAUGUUGGAACGUGAUAGAGGCGUAUAUGUGUAUUCUAAUGAAAAAAAAAAAUGAUAGUAUUACACCUUUGGGAAUUGUUGCUUACUUAUCGAGACAACGAUGAUUUAUCAGUAUUGCGGGCUGCAGACCGUAAUAUUAAUAACUCAUUCGUGGAUUCGUUAAGCAAGCAAACCGGUAUUUUAUUUUAUGUUAGUGUUGUACUUAUUUAGAAUGUUCAGUAAUAAUAAAGUAUGUAUUGGGUCAGUUAAUUUUAUUCCAUUAGAUUGAUUAUUUAUAGUUGUGACUAGAUGGAAUAUUACGGGAAACCAGUUACUUUCCAUCGAUCUGGAUGACCAGAGAUUACUUUUGUAAGUAUGCAAAAUGGAUUGAGUCAGGCCGUUAUUUAUGCUGUGAGAGCAAAGAGAUUGUUUUCGAAAGGCUGUCAAAAAUACUUAGCUCAUGUGGUGCUAAAUGAUGUUGUUUGGAGUAGUGUGAAUAAUGUCGAAAGAGUUAGACUUUUCUUGAUGUCUUCUCUGAAAGUAUACCUGGAUUGUCUUCAGGCAGAGAUAUGAGGUUCAUUAUUGAUUUGUUGCCAGGUAUAAAUUUAUGUUAAAGAUUGGUUCAUGAUGAGUUAAGGGAAUUGGAAAUUCAGUUGAGAGAAUUGGUUGAUAAAAGUUUUAUUCAACCUAGUACAACACUGUUGAGGAGCACCAGUUUGUUGGUGAGAAAGGAAAUGGACUUAGAGAUUGUUCAUUGAUUAUAGAUAAUGGAAUCGGGUAACGAAUGAGAACCGUUAUCCAUUGUGGUGUAUUGACGCUCAUUUGAUCAGUUCAAAGGUGCUUGUAUAUUUUCAAAGAUUGACUUGAAUACUGUUUAUUAUCAAUUGAAGAUUAUGAGUUAUUGGAUGAAGUAUUCCAAUAAUGCCUUGAUAAAUAGAUAUCAUUUUCAUUGAAGAUAUUCUGGCAUAUUCUGAGCCAGAGCAGAACAUGUAAACGUAUUAAGUCGGUGGAACAAAGAUUGGAAGAAUGUCGGUUGUAUGCUAAGUAGCAAAUGCUAAAGUUAGAUGAAUCAUGUGGCAUUCUGAGAAUUGUUAUAUAUUCUUAAGGUAUUCAAGUGAAUCCUUAAAAGAUAGCAGAAAUUGAGAAAUUGGAACAACCACAAGCCAUAAUUGAGAUUCGGAAAUUCUUAACUUAUCAGGCUAUUUUGGAUGGUUGUGAAAGAAUUUUUAGUCAUUGUUUUGUCAUUGAUGAGACUGUUGAGAAAGGAGGUUAUGUAUGAGUGGGAAGGAAAUUGUGAGCAAAGGAUUCAACAACUGAAGUAUUUCCUCACUCAUGCACGUAUUUUAGUAAUCCCAAAGAAUAAUGGUAAUCAUAAAUUUUUAGUGAUGUUUCUUGAAUGGUAUUGGAUGCAUGUUGAUGCAAAUGUUAGGGUGAUUGCAUACGUUUCACGACAAAUGGAAUCUCAUGAGAUGAAUUACCCUACUGGUGAUUUGGAAGUCACGAUUACCAUCCUUGCUGUGAAGUUAUGGAGACAUUCUAUGUUGAUAAGAAUGCAAGAUUUUACAAAUCAAAAGAGUCUCCAAUAUUUGUUUACUUGGAAGGAUUUUGAUAGGAGGCAGCGAAUGUGAAUUGUAUUGCUUAAUGAACAUGAUUGUACGAUCAGGGUGAUCGUAAAGUUUGUUCUAACUGAAGCACUUGGUGAGAAGACUACAAUAAGAUUAAUGUCUGGCACGUUUGCCAAGAGUAUCAUCUUGUGGAUUGAAACCAACGGAAGAAAAAUUAAGAAUGGAAGAUCGAGAAGAAGUUAUACUUGUUAAAUUUCAAGUUAGGCCUGUUUGGUAAGGUCGUACUUGAAACUUAAAUGCUUGACGAAGAAAUUUAAGAAUUAACCAAGGUAGAGAAAGAAGGUAAGUUAAAUCCUAAGUUAAUCGGACUUAAGUGAUUAUCGAAAAGUUGGUGAAGUUGCUUACAAGCUUGUGAUGCCCUCAGAAUUGGUUAAGGUGCAAAACAUAUUUUAUGAUUCGAUGCGUUGUCACUAGGUGGCAGAUUCGUCACAUAAGAUUCUGGUGUAACUAUUGAGAAUUAAAUUGGAUUCGACUUGAUAAGGAACCAAGGACGACUUUGGAUUGGAAAAAGAAGGUCCUGAGAAAUUAAGACAGAGUAAGUAGUAGUAAAAGCUUUGUGAAGGAAAUCAUUCAGUAGAAAAGUAUGUGGGAGAAAGAGAAUCGGAUGAGAAAGAUUUACCCGAAGCUAUUGUUGGAGUAUGGUUUGAUUUUAGUUGGUUGCUGGAAUUUCGGGGACGAAAUUCUAUAAGGAGGGAAGAUUGUCACAGCCCGUCCCGGAAUUUUAAUUCCGAGGACAUGAAAAGACGAAAAUGCCCUUAAACGGGACUAAGGGGCGAAAAUUUAACAAUUUGGAUUGAGUUGGACACGUGGGAUCCCCACACCCCUCAAUCCUCUCCCUAUUUUCUGCAUACUGUCUCUCUCUCCUCCCUCACGAAUCUCUCUCUCUCUGUCACUCUUCUUCUCCGUUCGAACAAACCAACCACAAAACAACCUUAAACUUCCACCAACGACGGAGUUAAGACUACCAUCGAACUCCUGGAGACUCCACGAUCACGUAGACACCAAUUUCAGGUAAGUUUUACUUCGGAAAACCUAGAUUCUAAACUCCCCGUGAAAGUGCACUGUUCAUGAUCUUCGAAUUGACUUUGUUUUAGGACAAUCCAAGCUCACAGUGAGCUUAGUGAGGUUCCAAGGAAGCUCGGAGUGCUUCGUUGGAAGUUUUUGGACGUAAGAACACGGAGAUCGAUAAGUUCAAAGUUUGGCCGGAGCUUUCGAGGCAUUUUCCGGCGAAUCCCCGGCGAGUUAGGCGUCGAGGUAGGUAUCAAUCUCUUUCGUCUCGUCAAGUACUACAAACUUUCCUUUUUGUUUCACUCAAUUUCGUUGAGUAUUGAAGAAGUUAUACUCAUUUGAAAAAUACCCAGUUUCCGGCGACCUCCGAGGCUUUCGAGGCAGUUUCCGGCCAAACUACGGCGAACUAGGUGUUGGGAAAGGUACCAUUCUCUUUGUCUCUUCAAGGGCUACAACUUUCGUUUUUGAAUCACUUGAUUUCGUUGAGAAAUGACAAAGUUAUGGUAAUUUGAAAAACUGCCCAGAAAACGGCCGCCGGAAAAACCAGUCCGGCGACCCAAGGAAGAAGAAGGUGCUACAGUAAAAAAAUAAAUAAAAAUAAAAUUAUUUUAAAAAUAUGUCGACGUCCGUGACGUCGAGUAGAUCACCGUGGUAUAUUCAUAUACCCAAAUUGAACACCGUAUGAGAAAGUUAUUGAAGAUUGUUGGUUAGGUGUUCAAAUAACGUUUUUAUAGUUUUCACAUUUAGGUGAAAAUGUGAAUUGAUGAUCCGACCGUUGGAUCGUCACCAAACUUUGAUACGUUGUAAUACGUAAUAUUUGAGGAUUAUUGGAACUUACGGAUUGGGAAUCCGAGUUACGGAUCUUCCGGAAUUGGAAUUUGUAAGUCCAUAAUAUAAAAUGUUAACCGUCACUUAGUUUUGGAAAUUGACGGAGAUCCGACCGUUGGAUGGUAAUGAAAUUUUAGGAUGUUGUCCUAGAGGUAUAAUGUGGACCUCUGGAAGUUAUGGAUUUAAAAUCUGAGUGGCAGAUCUUCCGGAUCGAUCUACGUAGUGACGUAUUUUAUAUAAGUUAUAUAUUCUAUCGAUAUGAAUUCUGAGGUUGGAUUUGAUUACUGUUCUAGGCGGCGAUCGUCAUGACGCCUUGAUGUGUGGUGCUAGGGAGUUGUUGGACGAACUCCAGGUGAGUGGGCAGUUUUGUUUUCCGUAUAUACAUAUAUAAUUGACGUUUCCCAGAAAUUGAAAAUGUUACGAAAGUAUGCUUUAAAUGCAAAGUAUAAAAAAGUAUGUUUUCAAAUGCCAUGAGUAGAUUAUAUGAAAGAUAUGAUUUGAGAUAUAUUAGUUGAAAUACCAUGCUUAGAAGUAUGUGAAAAGUAUAUAGAAAUGUGAAUCGAAAUGCCAUGCAUGAAAUGAUAUGAAAAGUAUGAAUUGAGAUAUGAUGCAUAUGUAUGAAUUGGUGCUGUGGACGCACAGGUGAGUAUCAGGUGAGUAUAUUACUGCUAUGAUGAUGUUGAGAGAUAUAUUGAGCUCAUAACCUGCACCUUGGUAUUAGUGCUUAUUAUUAUUCACCGCAUCGCAUGCUCACCUUGGAUCCAAGUAGAUGCUAGUCGUACAGACCACCGGGGGUGGUUCCGACAUGCCAGUCGUACAGACCAUUAGAGGGGUUCCGACUGGUAGGUGACCUUAGAUUAUGUGCACAGAUGAUUGAUGAGAAAAAGCACUAGAGCAUAUUAUUACACCAUUAAGUCGUACAGAUUACAUUAGGUAAUUCCGACUUAUGUGCAGUGUAGUGCCGUACAGGUCAUACUAGGUGACUCCGGCAUGGCCGAACAGGUCACAGUUGGUGACUCCGGUUAUAUGAGAUUUUGAGCUCUACAUUCAGCCGUACAGGACCAUUGUAGGGUCUCCGGUUGAUUUCUUUCUUGCACCUGAUAUGAUUAUUGCUGAUGCAUUCAUACUUAACUGUUGAAUUUAGACAUGGCAUGGCAUGAUUGAUAAAGAUAAAUGUUGAGAUAGUAAAAAUGAAGUUUUGAUAAUAUAUAUGUAUAUUUAUAUUUUACAUUUCUGGGAAAGUAUACAGGUUUUACGGAGAGGGGUUACAACGUUUUGAGAAAUGUUUGGAUUUGGAAAAGAAUUGUUUUACUGACCCACUCAAUUUUGGUUUUGCGCCCCUCCAGGUUCAUGAAUCACAAAGGUGUGGUGACUACGAGGAAUUCGACGGUGUUCUGACAGAUUGGACAAAAUUAGGACUCACUUUCGGGUGUAUCAACUUAGGAAUUGUAUCUUAAAGCUUCCGUACUGUGCAAAUGGUUACGUCACUCUCACGUGACGGCCAGCAUGCCCUCCUUCGGGACGGGGUGUGUCACAAAUAAUUCAAAACCUGUCUCUAACUCUCUGAUCCAAUGAUCCAAAUAAUUAAGUAAUGUUAACAAUUACAUGUUAAUUUUUUUUAAGUAAUUAAGUAAUGUUAACAAUCACCAUGUUUUAUAUUAGGAUUAUUUUAUUAUCAAAUUGGAUUAUUCAUUAAAUUGGAUUAUUAUCAAAUUUGAUUAUUAUUCAUCACCAUGUUUUAUAUUAGGAUUAUUUUUUUAUGAAAUUGGAUUAUUAUUCAUUAAAUUAGAUUAUUAUUCAUUAAAUUGGAUUAUUAUCAAAUUGGAUUAUUAUUCAUCACCAUGUUUUAUAUUAGGAUUAUUUUUUUAUGAAAUUGGAUUAUUCAUUAAAUUGGAUUAUUAUCAAAUUGGAUUAUUAUUCAUCACCAUGUUUUAUAUUAGGAUUAUUGUACUAAUUCAUUAUAUAUAAAUUAUUAUGAUGUGUUUAGACUUCUUUCAUUAAUUACUACAUAUUUUCUACAUUCACAAUGUUUGUCAGCUAGCUAUAUAAUCAACUUGAUAAUGCUAAAUCCAUCAUGCAAUGCAUUUCUUUCCAAUUUUUUGUGAUAAACUAAUAGAUAAUUGACUAAAU
This 8342-nucleotide long non-coding RNA is filed under the name Malus domestica (apple). RNAcentral's name for it is "long non-coding RNA (MDOM_LNC008954)". The record is from RNAcentral. Lineage: Eukaryota; Viridiplantae; Streptophyta; Magnoliopsida; Rosales; Rosaceae.